GAUGAACGCUGGCGGCGUGCUUAACACAUGCAAGUCGAACGAAGCAUUUAAGACAGAUUACUUCGGUUUGAGGUCUUUUAUGACUGAGUGGCGGACGGGUGAGUAACGCGUGGGUAACCUGCCUCAUACAGGGGGAUAGCAGCUGGAAACGGCUGGUAAUACCGCAUAAGCGCACAGUACCACAUGGUACAGUGUGAAAAACUCCGGUGGUAUGAGAUGGACCCGCGUCUGAUUAGCUUGUUGGCGGGGUAACGGCCCACCAAGGCGACGAUCAGUAGCCGACCUGAGAGGGUGACCGGCCACAUUGGGACUGAGACACGGCCCAGACUCCUACGGGAGGCAGCAGUGGGGAAUAUUGCACAAUGGAGGAAACUCUGAUGCAGCGACGCCGCGUGAGUGAAGAAGUAGUUCGCUAUGUAAAGCCCUAUCAGCAGGGAAGAUAGUGACGGUACCUGACUAAGAAGCGCCGGCUAAAUACGUG
This 481-nucleotide ribosomal RNA is filed under the name uncultured bacterium. RNAcentral describes it as "partial 16S ribosomal RNA". It matches the Rfam family "Bacterial small subunit ribosomal RNA", at positions 28 to 507 of the family's 1533-position model. The record is from RNAcentral.